GACGAACGCUGGCGGCGUGCCUAAUACAUGCAAGUUGAGCGAUGAAGAUUGGUGCUUGCACCAAUUUGAAGAGCAGCGCACGGGUGAGUAACGCGUGGGGAAUCUGCCUUUGAGCGGGGGACAACAUUUGGAAACGAAUGCUAAUACCGCAUAACAACUUUAAACAUAAGUUUUAAGUUUGAAAGAUGCAAUUGCAUCACUCAAAGAUGAUCCCGCGUUGUAUUAGCUAGUUGGUGAGGUAAAGGCUCACCAAGGCGAUGAUACAUAGCCGACCUGAGAGGGUGAUCGGCCACAUUGGGACUGAGACACGGCCCAAACUCCUACGGGAGGCAGCAGUAGGGAAUCUUCGGCAAUGGACGAAAGUCUGACCGAGCAACGCCGCGUGAGUGAAGAAGGGUUUCGGAUCGUAAAACUCUGUUGGUAGAGAAGAACGUUGGUGAGAGUGGAAAGCUCAUCAAGUGACGGUAACUACCCAGAAAGGGACGGCUAACUACGUG
Molecule: ribosomal RNA, 497 nt
Filed under: uncultured bacterium
Lineage: Bacteria
Description: partial 16S ribosomal RNA
Rfam family: Bacterial small subunit ribosomal RNA
Source: RNAcentral